This 73-nucleotide transfer RNA is filed under the name Ameiurus melas (black bullhead). It matches the Rfam family "tRNA". From Rfam's summary of the family: Transfer RNA (tRNA) molecules are approximately 80 nucleotides in length. Their secondary structure includes four short double-helical elements and three loops (D, anti-codon, and T loops). The record is from Rfam by way of RNAcentral. Lineage: Eukaryota; Metazoa; Chordata; Actinopteri; Siluriformes; Ictaluridae.
UCAUCGUUAGUAUAGUGGACAGUAUCUCCGCCUGUCAUGCGCGGAGAACGGGGUUCGAUUCCCUGACGGGGAG